GCUCUUUUGGUUUAGCGGCGGACGGGUGAGUAACACGUGGGCAACCUGCCCUGCAGAUCGGGAUAACUCCGGGAAACCGGUGCUAAUACCGAAUAGUUUGGCGCCUCUCCUGAGGCGCUACGGAAAGACGGCAUCUCGCUGUCACUGCAGGAUGGGCCCGCGGCGCAUUAGCUAGUUGGUGGGGUAACGGCCCACCAAGGCGACGAUGCGUAGCCGACCUGAGAGGGUGAUCGGCCACACUGGGACUGAGACACGGCCCAGACUCCUACGGGAGGCAGCAGUAGGGAAUCUUCCGCAAUGGACGCAAGUCUGACGGAGCAACGCCGCGUGAGUGACGAAGGUUUUCGGAUCGUAAAACUCUGUUGUGAGGGAAGAAACCGUGCCAACUAACUACUGGCACCUUGACGGUACCUCACCAGAAAGCCACGGCUAACUACGUGCCAGCAGCCGCGGUAAUACGUAGGUGGCAAGCGUUGUCCGGAAUUAUUGGGCGUAAAGCGCGCGCAGGCGGUCCUUUAAGUCUGAUGUGAAAGCCCACGGCUCAACCGUGGAGGGUCAUUGGAAACUGGAGGACUUGAGUGCAGAAGAGGAAAGUGGAAUUCCACGUGUAGCGGUGAAAUGCGUAGAGAUGUGGAGGAACACCAGUGGCGAAGGCGACUUUCUGGUCUGUAACUGACGCUGAGGCGCG
This 688-nucleotide ribosomal RNA is filed under the name Planomicrobium sp. Its description in RNAcentral is "bacterial SSU rRNA". It matches the Rfam family "Bacterial small subunit ribosomal RNA", at positions 81 to 755 of the family's 1533-position model. The record is from RNAcentral. Lineage: Bacteria; Bacillati; Bacillota; Bacilli; Caryophanales; Caryophanaceae.